CCAAUAGCGUAUAUUAAAGUUGUUGCAGUUAAAAAGCUCGUAGUUGAAUUUCGGGGUUAGUAAGUUGGUCAUGCCUUCGGUAUGUACUGGCUUUACUGAUUCCUCCUUCUUGACGAACCGUGAUGUCAUUAAUUUGGUGUUGCGGGAAAUCAGGACUGUUACUUUGAAAAAAUUAGAGUGUUUAAAGCAGGCUAACGCUUGAAUACAUUAGCAUGGAAUAAUGAAAUAGGACGUUAAUCCUAUUUUGUUGGUUUCUAGGAUCGACGUAAUGAUUAAUAGGGAUAGUUGGGGGCAUUAGUAUUCAAUUGUCAGAGGUGAAAUUCUUGGAUUUAUUGAAGACUAACUACUGCGAAAGCAUUUGCCAAGGAUGUUUUCAUUAAUCAAGAACGAAAGUUAGGGGAUCGAAGACGAUCAGAUACCGUCGUAGUCUUAACCAUAAACUAUGCCGACUAGGGAUCGGAUGAUGUUAUCUUAAUGACUCAUUCGGCGCCUUACG
This 496-nucleotide unclassified non-coding RNA is filed under the name uncultured Glomus. Its description in RNAcentral is "SSU rRNA". It matches the Rfam family "Eukaryotic small subunit ribosomal RNA", at positions 591 to 1092 of the family's 1831-position model. The record is from RNAcentral. Lineage: Eukaryota; Fungi; Glomeromycota; Glomeromycetes; Glomerales; Glomeraceae.